UAUUGGCGGAUGCGUCACCAUCAAGAUUCACAAAACUAUGAAGGCUUCAUCGGGACGGUGAGUGUACGGCCGGCGGCGGUGGCUCUUCUUACUUAAAAGGUUUCCUUUUUCGUAUGAGAAUCUUGAUGAUGCUGCAUCGGCAAAUA
RNAcentral lists this microRNA precursor (146 nucleotides) under Manihot esculenta (cassava). RNAcentral's name for it is "precursor microRNA miR172f". It matches the Rfam family "mir-172 microRNA precursor family". From Rfam's summary of the family: mir-172 has been experimentally verified in Arabidopsis thaliana. The record is from RNAcentral. Lineage: Eukaryota; Viridiplantae; Streptophyta; Magnoliopsida; Malpighiales; Euphorbiaceae.